Molecule: ribosomal RNA, 376 nt
Filed under: uncultured organism
Description: partial 16S ribosomal RNA
Rfam family: Bacterial small subunit ribosomal RNA
Source: RNAcentral
GUAGGGGGGCAAGCGUUGUCCGGAAUUAUUGGGGCGUAAAGCGCGCGCAGGCGGUCUCUUAAGUCUGAUGUGAAAGCCCACGGGCUCAACCGUGGAGGGUCAUUGGAAACUGGGAGACUUGAGUGUAGGAGAGGAAAGUGGAAUUCCACGUGUAGCGGUGAAAUGCGUAGAUAUGUGGAGGAACACCAGUGGCGAAGGCGACUUUCUGGCCUACAACUGACGCUGAGGCGCGAAAGCGUGGGGAGCAAACAGGAUUAGAUACCCUGGUAGUCCACGCUGUAAACGAUGAGUGCUAGGUGUUAGGGGGUUUCGAUGCCCUUAGUGCCGAAGUUAACACAUUAAGCACUCCGCCUGGGGAGUACGGCCGCAAAGGCUG